This 1341-nucleotide long non-coding RNA is filed under the name Coturnix japonica (Japanese quail). RNAcentral's name for it is "lncRNA (ENSCJPG00005005936.1)". The record is from RNAcentral. Lineage: Eukaryota; Metazoa; Chordata; Aves; Galliformes; Phasianidae.
UGUGGGGUGGUUAUGGGGGGAUAUGGGGUCAUAUGGGAGGUUAUGGGGGAUAUGGGGUGGUUAUGGGGUCCCUAUGUGUCCCUAUGUGUCCCUAUGUGUCUCUAUGUGUCUCUAUGUGUCCCUAUGUGUCCCUAUGGGUCCCUAUGUGUCCCUAUGGGUCUCUAUGUGUCUCUAUGGGUCUCUAUGGGUCCCUAUGUGUCCCUAUGGGUCCCUAUGUGUCUCUAUGGGUCUCUAUGUGUCUCUAUGGGUCCCUAUGUGUCCCUAUGUGUCUCUAUGGGUCCCUAUGUGUCUCUAUGUGUCUCUAUGUGUCCCUAUGUGUCCCUAUGGGGCCGUAACCCCCGUUUCUCCCCGUUCCAGCCCCACUGAAUCCCGUCUCACGGUGUCCGACAACUCGCUGCUCUGGAGCGCCCCCGUGCGGUACCGGGUGGGAGCCGCGGUCACGUGGCUGGAGGACUCCACCCCAUAUCUCAGCUUCACCCCCGGCCAGACCCACAACUCAACACUGAGGCACCAUUACCAGGGCUGCAUCCCCCCCCACCCCCCCCUGUUGUUCCGCUGCCCCAUGGGAUCCCACUUGGGGGGCAGAGUGACGCUGAGCGCCAACAUCACACCCCCAACACAAGGACAGCCCCCGUUCCGAUCCCAUUUAUGCUCCCGUUUGUGGUUCCGGUUCGGUUCGGGGCUGUUCCAGCAUCACCCACAAGGGGGCGACAACGGGAUGCAGGGCACGACGGAGGUGGAGCUGCUGCCCCCCCCCCCCCCCAUUGCUCUUAAUGUACGUGGGGGGGCUGCGGCGGGGCGGGUGAUGCUGCUGCCCUAUGGGCGUCGCUGGGCGUGGCGCGAAGGUAAAUUUGCAUAAUUUGCAUAUUAAUGAGCUAAGGGGAUGGGGUGGGGGGUCACUAAUUAGGGUAAGGUUAAUUAGUCUGGAGGGGUAAAUUAAUUAAGGGGGUUAAUUAGAGCUUGUUAAUGGGCCGGGGGGGGGUGAUGCUGCUGCUCCUAUUGGGCGUCCUCCUGUCCAAGGUAAUUUGCAUAAUUGCAUAUUAAUGAGCUAAGGGGAUGGGGAUGGGGUUAAUUAACCAGGGGGGUUAUUAAAUGGGGAGUAAUUAAUUAAGGGUUUAAUUAGAGGAGGUCAGUUAAUUGGGAGGAUGGGCGAAGGGGCUGGGAUAGGGGGAUCACUCUAAUUAUCAGGGGAUAAUUAGGCAUAUUAAUUUGCUUAAUUAGCAUACUAAUGAGCUUACACAGGGGAUGGGGGGGCUUAAUUAAUAGGGGGGUUAAUAGUGGGGUGUCGCUUCGACUGGUAAUGUGUGAAUGUAAGGGAGUUAGAUUAGGAGCUUGUUAAUG